Molecule: non-coding RNA, 21 nt
Filed under: Arabidopsis thaliana (thale cress)
Lineage: Eukaryota; Viridiplantae; Streptophyta; Magnoliopsida; Brassicales; Brassicaceae
Source: RNAcentral
UCUUGUUUUCUCUGUUUCUUA